GUGAGAGGUGAAGGACAGAGCAAGACUUUUUGGUAGGCCAUAACACCAGUACAACAAACAGAUCUCAGCAGGCUGCUCUGUGAAAAGAAUGGAGAUUAAUGCCAUCAACUCAGAGAGGGAGAGGCAAGUUUAUUGUACCACGUGAACGUCACUCCACCUCUGCACCAUUGAAGAAUAUUUGUAAAUACCCUGUCGAUUGACAUUUGAGCUUGAGUUUUUAACUCAUUGACAGCCACAGGCUGCUCUCCUACAUAUGGAAUUGUCAUCUCAGAUAAAGGAGCAUUGGACCAUUGAAUAGAAAGAUUCACUUAUCAGAUUGGACAGCCAGCACAGAUUCCACCAUAGAAAACCCAGGAGGGGGUAGGCAGCUAGUUGGUCAUGGGUUAUAUGACCGUGACUUUAUUUUUGACUUUUAAUCUAAUU
Long non-coding RNA from Polypterus senegalus (gray bichir), 423 nucleotides. RefSeq lists it as uncharacterized. Lineage: Eukaryota; Metazoa; Chordata; Cladistia; Polypteriformes; Polypteridae. The record is from RefSeq and is a predicted model, not a curated record. The transcript is spliced from 3 exons.